This 419-nucleotide transfer-messenger RNA is filed under the name Minisyncoccota bacterium. It matches the Rfam family "transfer-messenger RNA". Rfam says of the family: Bacterial tmRNA, also known as 10Sa RNA or SsrA, is named for its dual tRNA and mRNA-like properties. Its role is to liberate the mRNA from a stalled ribosome. To accomplish this part of the tmRNA is used as a reading frame that ends in a translation stop signal. The record is from RNAcentral. Lineage: Bacteria; Bacillati; Minisyncoccota.
GGGGGUGACCUGUAUUGACGGUCUGCUCUUUGAGAAACGUGCGACGCGAUGGAAGCUUGUUGACCAUCUUAAUCUCACAAGCACCAAUACUUGCAAACAACACUGUUGCAAGCGCAAAGAAGUCUCCGUACUUUACGGCAAACGACUUUGCGUUCGCUUACGCGUAAGCUUGAGCUUCGGCUCGCUUUGCUCUAGCGACGUCUGCCAUGCCAGGGCUUCACAGCUAGCAUGAUCAGGCGGAAUUCUCUGUGAAGCCGGCAGCCGUACGCCCUUGCGGCCUGCCUAAACCUUAGGGCGUAGGUUGAAGCGGUUUCGCUGACGUUUCUACGCUUCAACCGAAUUUUCAACACCAGCUACGCGUCGUAGAUUCGUUCUCAAAGCCGGAUUCGGACGGGGCUUCACCGCCCCCACCUCCACCU